Molecule: ribosomal RNA, 201 nt
Filed under: uncultured Anaerolineaceae bacterium
Lineage: Bacteria; Bacillati; Chloroflexota; Anaerolineae; Anaerolineales; Anaerolineaceae
Description: partial 16S ribosomal RNA
Rfam family: Bacterial small subunit ribosomal RNA
Source: RNAcentral
GUCAAGUCAGCAUGGCCUUUAUAUCCUGGGCUACACACACGCUACAAUGGGAAGGGACAAUAGGUUGCGAAGCCGCGAGGUGGAGCCAAUCCAGCAAAACUUCCCUCAGUUCAGAUUGCAGGCUGCAACUCGCCUGCAUGAAGUCGGAGUUGCUAGUAAACGCAGGUCAGCCAUACUGCGUUGAAUACGUUCCCGGGGCUU